GAGAUACACUAAUAAUACCCUCCUUAGUUCUUAUAUGUUCUUGCUUUGAGAUUGUUUCUUUGAACUAAGAGGAUAUUUUCUGAACUCAAGAACUUUUGUUGAGAAGAAAAUUUCGAACCAUCUUAUACAUGAUAAUCUUAACAGCAUUUCUGUGAAUACUACUGUAGGUAGCGUUCUCUGAGCAUCCCUCUGCCCCUUUUUUUUAAAACCAUAUAUGUGCUUAGCACUUUCUAUUUUCCCUUCAUGUUUGUUCUUUGAGGUAGGUACUAUGGUGCACAUUUUCCAGAACUUGCUUCCUGGGAGGUAAAGGGCAUAGAUGAGACACUUAAUACUCUGUUCUUCCUGAACUCUCAGACUGUGAGCUCCUUGAAAGAUGCCUAUUUAUGAAAUGGUCUUACAUCCAGUGCUGGCCAUAUAGAGGAAAGUGGGAGUAGAAAGUUGGACAGGACUUUUUCUGAGUGCCCAGACAGUGGGCAACAGCUGUAUGAAGUCAAUGAGUAGCUAGACAAAGAAUUCUGAUCAUGCCUCAAACAAGCUAAGAUAAAAAUCACAUUUGUAAGGAUCUUAAAGUAUGAAAAUACUUCCACAAAAAAGGUAUUUGGAAAAUUAUGUAUUCAAACUCGCAUCUAAUUUUGCUAGGAUUAAAUCUAAAUAGAGUCAGUUUUGUAGUUUUCUAUGAAGUGUAUCAGUGAAAACCUAGGGUUUUAAAUUACAUUGAGAUAGGCUUUGCUCCUUAUAGAAAACUUUAUUCACUUCUUAUUUCCCCAGAAUAUUUUCUC
Molecule: long non-coding RNA, 779 nt
Organism: Perognathus longimembris pacificus (Pacific pocket mouse)
Lineage: Eukaryota; Metazoa; Chordata; Mammalia; Rodentia; Heteromyidae
Exons: 3
Source: RefSeq, a predicted model, not a curated record